Molecule: transfer RNA, 91 nt
Organism: Fistulina hepatica ATCC 64428
Lineage: Eukaryota; Fungi; Basidiomycota; Agaricomycetes; Agaricales; Fistulinaceae
Rfam family: tRNA
About the family: Transfer RNA (tRNA) molecules are approximately 80 nucleotides in length. Their secondary structure includes four short double-helical elements and three loops (D, anti-codon, and T loops).
Source: Rfam
GCCCGCCUAGCUCAAUCGGAUAGAGCGUCAGACUCUUAAUAUGACUGGGUGGGUGAUCUGAAGGCUGCGAGUUCGACCCUCGCGGUGGGCU